AGAGAGAGAGAGAGAGAAGUGAUAAGAUGGAUUUUAGGAAAUUGUAGAAAUAGUAUAGUGUUUAGUAGAGAUAAAGGUAAAAUUGAAAAUAAAAAUUAAUAAAAAAAUUAAUACAGGGAGUAACAGGAUAAAAUGAAUAAAUAAAGAGAGAAAUCCCUUCCAAUAAAUAAAUAAUAAAUCAUUUGGGUUUCUAUGUAUGUGGCAGGAACUUGAUAUGUGAGGUGAACUAAAUCUUUUCAUUUUAUAAAAUAAGUUGGAACCAAAUCUUUCCUUGGUAAAUUUGUGAAAGGAAGUCAAACCAGAAAGAAAGAGGGUUCAGAAAGUCACCAUAAAAUCAAACUUUGGUGCAGCAGCAAAAAGUUUUGUUAAUAUCCGAAAAAAAAGUAGAAAAACUAGAGGCAAUUAAUAUGGAACUCCUGUGUUUUUCUUUAACAUAGAAAGCGGAAUUUCCUCUAGCUAAAUAAAUAAUUUCUCAAGGAAUGAAAAAACAAAAUUUGAGGAUCAGAUGACAAUUAAAACGAAGCAACAUGAAAAUUUCUACCAGUAGAUUGACUACAUUACCAACUGCAUCAAAAGCAAACUCUUAUUCAAGAAACGUAAUAUUUUUAUAGCAGCUAGUAUGUAAAGCUAGCCAUGAAACACAGAA
Molecule: unclassified non-coding RNA, 646 nt
Filed under: Hevea brasiliensis (rubber tree)
Lineage: Eukaryota; Viridiplantae; Streptophyta; Magnoliopsida; Malpighiales; Euphorbiaceae
Source: RNAcentral